CAAGUGCGACUGAAACUGGCAGGCUUGAGUAUGGGAGAGGGAAGUGGAAUUCCUGGUGUAGCGGUGAAAUGCGUAGAUAUUAGGAAGAACACCAGUGGCGAAGGCGGUUCUCUGGCCUACAACUGACGCUGAGGUACGAAAGCUGGGGUAGCGAACGGGAUUAGAUACCCUGGUAGUCCACGCAGUAAACGGUGAUCACUAAGUGUUGCGGGCUUUGAUGUCUGCAGUGCCGAAGCAAACGCAUUAAGUGAUCCGCCUGGGGAGUACGGCCGCAAGGUUAAAACUCAAAGGAAUUGACGGGGGCCCGCACAAGCGGUGGAGCAUGUGGUUUAAUUCGACGCAACGCGAAGAAACUUACCUGGAUUUGACAUCUGGGGGAUGCCAUGGAAACAU
RNAcentral lists this ribosomal RNA (393 nucleotides) under uncultured bacterium. RNAcentral describes it as "bacterial SSU rRNA". It matches the Rfam family "Bacterial small subunit ribosomal RNA", at positions 618 to 1009 of the family's 1533-position model. The record is from RNAcentral.